AUUGACAAAAGUUUCCCUGCCAAACAAAAUAGUAAAAACAGUUAUAAAGCUAAGAAAUCAUAUUGGACAUUUUAAUAUGUCGCCUGACAAAGAUCAACAACAUUCAUUAGCCUUCAGUUUCCUUAAGCCAAGUAUUUCUUUCAUUUUUAGUGAACCAGAGAACUGAAUAAUCUCAUGAUUCACUCACAUGGAGAUACAUUCUCUUACUAAUUAUAUCUCAACAAAAUCAAAAGGGAGAACAAAUAUAGAAGUUCCAGCAAACUUUUUAAUUAGAGCUGCCCACUCUAGUUGUCAUGCUUUCAUAAAUUUCAUUUGUUCACAUUGGUCAAGUGUAUAAUUUCUUUUAUUCAACUAUGAAUCAAUGUAUUGAUAAGUAAUAUCCAAAUCCAAUCAUCCACAAUAAGUUCCUUAUACCAAGUCCAAAUGGC
This 428-nucleotide unclassified non-coding RNA is filed under the name Hevea brasiliensis (rubber tree). Lineage: Eukaryota; Viridiplantae; Streptophyta; Magnoliopsida; Malpighiales; Euphorbiaceae. The record is from RNAcentral.